This 363-nucleotide unclassified non-coding RNA is filed under the name Hevea brasiliensis (rubber tree). The record is from RNAcentral. Lineage: Eukaryota; Viridiplantae; Streptophyta; Magnoliopsida; Malpighiales; Euphorbiaceae.
GAUUAUAAACCAAACCUGUUCGUGUGUUGAAAGGUAUCGAUCUUGAGGUUUGGAUCAUUAUGUCAUGCCAUAACAUCUAUAAAUUCAACAACACACUCACAAGAGUAAGAAGAAAAACCAAUGCGAACGAAAUUGAUGCCUUUCCAGGAAACCUGUAUUUGAAAAUUUGAGAGAAGACAGGAAGCAUUGCAGUCUCAGACACAGCAUGUGUAUUUAUGGAGUAUGGACAGAAGUGGAUACAAGGAGGUACCGAGGUAAUGAUUAAAGAAUUUGGUAAAGAGAUGAUAAUAACAAGCACUAUAAUACAACAUUUAAUUAUGACAAAUGUAUUUAUGGUCUAUAAAUAUCAGUCAAACUUGCCUG